RNAcentral lists this ribosomal RNA (499 nucleotides) under uncultured archaeon. RNAcentral describes it as "partial 16S ribosomal RNA". The record is from RNAcentral.
UUGAGCUGCUGGAUUUCUCAAGAGACUUAUCCGGCCGGCUACAGACCCUUUAGACCCAAUAAUAACGGUUACCACUCGAGCCGCCGGUGUUACCGCGGCGGCUGGCACCGGUCUUGCCCGGCCCUUGCUAUGCAAUGCUUUUUAGGCAUCACGACAGCCAGAUUUGUAACCUGGCACUCGAGGUCCCCUUAUCGCCGUUGCCGGCAUUGUAAAGUUUUCGCGCCUGCUGCACCCCGUAGGGCCUGGAUUCGUGUCUCAAAAUCCAUCUCCGGGCUCUUGCUCUCACAACCCGUACCCGUCGUAUGCUAGUAGGUACGCUACACCCACUACUACCUGAUAGGCCGCAGACCCAUCCUCUGGCGCCGGAGCUUUCGAUCUCGGGGCAUUCCAGCGACCGAGAUCUAUCGGGGAUUAUACCCAGUUUCCCGGGUUUAUACCCGUCCGGAGGGUAGGUUGUCCACGUGUUACUGAGCAGUACGCCAUGUAUUGCUACAUUCGA